UACAGAGGCCUCGAGCGUUAGGCGGAAUCACUGGGCUUAAAGCGUGUGUAGGUGGAUGCCUAAGUACCUUGUGAAAUCCCACGGCUUAACCGUGGAAUUGCUUGGUAUACUGGGUGUCUUGAGCCACUCAGGGGCUACCGGAACAAACGGUGGAGCGGUGAAAUGCGUAGAUAUCGUUUGGAACGCCAAUGGUGAAAACAGGUAGCUGGGGGUGUGCUGACACUGAGACACGAAAGCCAGGGGAGCAAACGGG
RNAcentral lists this ribosomal RNA (253 nucleotides) under uncultured bacterium. Its description in RNAcentral is "partial 16S ribosomal RNA". It matches the Rfam family "Bacterial small subunit ribosomal RNA", at positions 524 to 776 of the family's 1533-position model. The record is from RNAcentral.